CGCAACUGACGCUCAUGCUCGAAAGUGCGGGUAUCGAACAGGAUUAGAUACCCUGGUAGUCCGCACGGUAAACGAUGGAUGCCCGCUAUUUGUCCAUUAGGAUAAGUGGCCAAGUGAAAACGUUAAGCAUCCCACCUGGGGAGUACGCCGGCAACGGUGAAACUCAAAGGAAUUGACGGGGGCCCGCACAAGCGGAGGAACAUGUGGUUUAAUUCGAUGAUACGCGAGGAACCUUACCCGGGCUUGAAUUGUGAGAGAAGGAUCCAGAGAUGGUGACGCCCUUCGGGGCUCUCACGAAGGUGCUGCAUGGUUGUCGUCAGCUCGUGCCGUGAGGUGUCGGCUUAAGUGCCAUAACGAGCGCAACCCCUCUCUUCAGUUGCCAUCAGGUCAAGCUGGGCACUCUGGAGACACUGCCACCGUAAGGUGUGAGGAAGGUGGGGAUGACGUCAAAUCAGCACGGCCCUUACGUCCGGGGCUACACACGUGUUACAAUGGGUGGUACAGAGAGUUGGGUGCCCGCAAGGUCACUCUAAUCAAUAAAUCCAUCCUCAGUUCGGACUGGAGUCUGCAACCCGACUCCGUGAAGCUGGAUUCGCUAGUA
RNAcentral lists this ribosomal RNA (601 nucleotides) under uncultured bacterium. RNAcentral's name for it is "bacterial SSU rRNA". It matches the Rfam family "Bacterial small subunit ribosomal RNA", at positions 735 to 1340 of the family's 1533-position model. The record is from RNAcentral.